GAUGAACGCUGGCGGCGUGCCUAAUACAUGCAAGUCGAGCGAACGGACGAGAAGCUUGCUUCUCUGAUGUUAGCGGCGGACGGGUGAGUAACACGUGGAUAACCUACCUAUAAGACUGGGAUAACUUCGGGAAACCGGAGCUAAUACCGGAUAAUAUUUUGAACCGCAUGGUUCAAAAGUGAAAGACGGUCUUGCUGUCACUUAUAGAUGGAUCCGCGCUGCAUUAGCUAGUUGGUAAGGUAACGGCUCACCAAGGCAACGAUGCAUAGCCGACCUGAGAGGGUGUUCGGCCACACGGGAACUGAGACACGGUCCAGACUCCUACGGGAGGCAGCAGUAGGGAAUCUUCCGCAAUGGGCGAAAGCCUGACGGAGCAACGCCGCGUGAGUGAUGAAGGUCUUCGGAUCGUAAAACUCUGUUAUUAGGGAAGAACAUAUGUGUAAGUAACUGUGCACAUCUUGACGGUACCUAAUCAGAAAGCCACGGCUAACUACGUG
Molecule: ribosomal RNA, 497 nt
Filed under: uncultured bacterium
Lineage: Bacteria
Description: partial 16S ribosomal RNA
Rfam family: Bacterial small subunit ribosomal RNA
Source: RNAcentral